RNAcentral lists this ribosomal RNA (253 nucleotides) under uncultured bacterium. Its description in RNAcentral is "partial 16S ribosomal RNA". It matches the Rfam family "Bacterial small subunit ribosomal RNA", at positions 524 to 776 of the family's 1533-position model. The record is from RNAcentral.
UACAUGGGGUGCAAACGUUGCUCGGAAUUAUUGGGCGUAAAGCGCGCGUAGGCGGUUACUUAAGUCGGAUGUGAAAGCCCUCGGCUUAACUGAGGAAGUGCACCCGAAACUGAGUAGCUAGAGUACGAAAGAGGGUCGCGGAAUUCCCGGUGUAGAGGUGAAAUUCGUAGAUAUCGGGAGGAACACCGGUGGCGAAGGCGGCGACCUGGGUCGAGACUGACGCUGAGGCGCGAAAGCGUGGGGAGCGAACGGG